Molecule: ribosomal RNA, 1408 nt
Filed under: uncultured bacterium
Lineage: Bacteria
Description: 16S ribosomal RNA
Rfam family: Bacterial small subunit ribosomal RNA
Source: RNAcentral
GAACGCUAGCGGCAGGCUUAACACAUGCAAGUCGAGGGGCAGCGGGGAGGAAGCUUGCUUUCUCCGCCGGCGACCGGCGCACGGGUGAGUAACACGUAUGCAACCUGCCCCUGUCAGGGGGACAACCCGCCGAAAGGCGGGCUAAACCCGCGUACAUGCCACCGGGGCAUCCCGGAGGCAGGAAAGGCUUCGGCCGGACAGGGAUGGGCAUGCGGCGCAUUAGGCAGUAGGCGGGGUAACGGCCCACCUAACCGACGAUGCGUAGGAGUUCUGAGAGGAAGGUCCCCCACACUGGUACUGAGACACGGACCAGACUCCUACGGGAGGCAGCAGUGAGGAAUAUUGGUCAAUGGUCGGGAGACUGAACCAGCCAAGCCGCGUGAGGGAUGAAGGUACAGAGUAUCGUAAACCUCUUUUGUCAGGGAACAAAGGCGGGGACGUGUCCCCGGAUGAGUGUACCUGAAGAAAAAGCAUCGGCUAACUCCGUGCCAGCAGCCGCGGUAAUACGGAGGAUGCGAGCGUUAUCCAGAUUUAUUGGGUUUAAAGGGUGCGCAGGCGGUCUGUUAAGUCAGCGGUCAAAGCCCGGGGCUCAACCCCGGCCCGCCGUUGAAACUGGCAGUCUCGAGUUGGAGAGAAGUAUGCGGAAUGCGCGGUGUAGCGGUGAAAUGCAUAGAUAUCGCGCAGAACUCCGAUUGCGAAGGCAGCAUGCCGGCUCCACACUGACGCUGAGGCACGAAAGCGUGGGUAUCGAACAGGAUUAGAUACCCUGGUAGUCCACGCAGUGAACGAUGAAUGCUGGCUGUCCGGGGGGGAUUGACCCCUGGGUGGCGAAGCGAAAGCGAUAAGCAUUCCACCUGGGGAGUACGCCGGCAACGGUGAAACUCAAAGGAAUUGACGGGGGCCCGCACAAGCGGAGGAACAUGUGGUUUAAUUCGAUGAUACGCGAGGAACCUUACCCGGGCUCAAACGGGGAGUGACUCAGGCAGAGACGCCUGUUUCCCACGGGACACUCCCCGAGGUGCUGCAUGGUUGUCGUCAGCUCGUGCCGUGAGGUGUCGGCUUAAGUGCCAUAACGAGCGCAACCCCCGCGUGCAGUUGCUAACAGAUAACGCUGAGGACUCUGCACGGACUGCCGGCGCAAGCCGCGAGGAAGGCGGGGAUGACGUCAAAUCAGCACGGCCCUUACGUCCGGGGCGACACACGUGUUACAAUGGGUGGUACAGCGGGAAGCCAGGCGGCGACGCCGAGCGGAACCCGAAAUCCACUCUCAGUUCGGAUCGGAGUCUGCAACCCGACUCCGUGAAGCUGGAUUCGCUAGUAAUCGCGCAUCAGCCAUGGCGCGGUGAAUACGUUCCCGGGCCUUGUACACACCGCCCGUCAAGCCAUGGGAGCCGAGGGCGCUUGAAGU